UUUCCGUAGGUGUACCUGCGGAAGGAUCAUUAAAGAGAAUAUGCCCUUCGGGGUAGAUCUCCCACCCUUUGUUUAUAUUACCUUUGUUGCUUUGGCAGGCCCGUCUUCGGACCACCGGCUUCGGCUGGUCAGUGCUUGCCAGAGGACCCAAAACUCUUAUUAUUAAUGUCGUCUGAGUACUAUAUAAUAGUUAAAACUUUCAACAACGGAUCUCUUGGUUCUG
This 223-nucleotide unclassified non-coding RNA is filed under the name plant metagenome. RNAcentral's name for it is "partial contains small subunit ribosomal RNA, internal transcribed spacer 1, and 5.8S ribosomal RNA". The record is from RNAcentral.